RNAcentral lists this ribosomal RNA (722 nucleotides) under uncultured bacterium. RNAcentral's name for it is "bacterial SSU rRNA". It matches the Rfam family "Bacterial small subunit ribosomal RNA", at positions 8 to 796 of the family's 1533-position model. The record is from RNAcentral.
AGAGUUUGAUCCUGGCUCAGGGUGAACGCUAGGGGUAUGCUUAACACAUGCGAGUCGUACGAAAAAGAAUUUUUCUUUUUAAGUGGCGUACGGGUGAGUAAUACAUAGGAACUUGCCUUUUAGUCCAGAUUAAAAUACUGGAUUUUAAAGAAAAAAUUUUGCUAAGAGAUAGGCCUAUGCAAGAUUAGGUAGUUGGUUGGGUAAAAGCUUACCAAGCCUAUGAUCUUUAGCUGUACUGAGAGGUUGGUCAGCCACACUGGGACUGAGACAAGGCCCAGGCUUUAUUCGAAGCCAGCAGUGAGGAAUAUUGGACAAUGAGCGAAAGCUUGAUCCAGCAAUACCCCAUGAGUGAUGACGGCUUUCAAGUUGUAAAACUCUUUGGUUGAUGAAGAUAAUGACGGUAAUCGACAGAAUAGCCCCGGCUAACUUCGUGCCAGCAGCCGCGGUAAGACGAAGGGGGCGAGCGUUAUCCGGAAUGACUGGGCGUAAAGGGUCCGUAGGUGGUGUUUUAUGUUAAAGGUGAAAAACUAAAGCUUAACUUUUUCGAGCCUUUAAAACGUUAAUACUUUGAGUUUGAUGUAGGAUAGCAGAAUUUCAUAUGGAGGGGUGAUAUCCUUAGAUAUGUGAAAGAAUACCAGAGGCGAAGGCGGCUAUCUAGUUCAAUACUGACACUGAGGGACGAAAGCAUGGGGAGCAAACAGGAUUAGAUACCCUGGUAGUCC